This 2605-nucleotide long non-coding RNA is filed under the name Homo sapiens (human). RNAcentral's name for it is "HSALNT0199898". Lineage: Eukaryota; Metazoa; Chordata; Mammalia; Primates; Hominidae. The record is from RNAcentral.
GAGAAACAGACAGAAAGACUUGUUCAGGUAAAGGCGAGGGACACAUUGAAUGUUUUAGCCUUCUAUUAAUCUAUUCAAAAACUAAUUAUAAAGAGAAGAAAUACAAGACAGAAACAGAAAUAAAGUUGUUAGAGACAUUGCUCUCACAAGAGAAAGAUGGAGAAUUUCUUACAUUACAUGUUAUUCCUUCUGUAAGGAAAAGAAUAUUUGAAAGCAGACCAGGUCCGUCAGAUGUCAUGUUGACUCGCUCUGCUUUCACCUGUGAAGAUGCUGAUAUUAUACAAGUCUCCCUGAGUUAUGCCUCAGCUCACUAAAGCAAAAACUUCACUUCUUUCUCCACCUGGCAAUGAUCUCUGUCCAACCCCACAGCACAUUCCGGCAUUUGCACUGUGCCGUGGACGCCGCUGCAUUGUGCAUGCUCCAGGCUAUGUUUGUGGACAGUCACGUCGCCGCGGAAGUCAAGCUCAUUUGUCAUCCUUGCUAGGCACUUGCAGGGCUGCCUGAAGAGAAAAAUAUCUGAAAGCAGGCAGUGACGAAGGUAAAGAAGAGACUCAGGAGUGGAAGGGCAGAAGGGGGCUGUGGGGGUGGAUGUACGGAACCAGGCAUAUCUGAGUCCCUGGAAGGACAGGCUCCUGCGUCAUAAUUCUGCUUCUGAUGGGAGGCCUUCGCAGUGACAAACCUGGGCCUUCUGGCUCUCCGUAUGUCUUAGACCUCAUUUUGAAACAGGUUAUUGCAGUAAUGGCCCCCGAUUUGUCCACAUCUCCCCGUAUCCACACCCUUAGGUAAUCCUUUCCACACUGACUCGGAGCUGGGAUGGUAGCAAAUACGAUUCAAGCAGAGACUUGAAAAGGGCUUGUGGGUUGGGGCUUACUUACUUGUUUCUCUUGGAACUCCGUGACUCUCAUGUGAAUAAGCCUGGAAUAAACUCCUCUAAAAUGAGAGACCACAUAGAGAGAGAGGCCCUUAUCAUCCCAGCCAUCCCAUCCGAAGCCUUCAUAAACCAGCCAACUCUAGACAACUCAUCAGUCUCAGCAAUAAACCCAGUUAGGAACAGCCAGGCCAGGCCCAGAGCAGAAGAAUUGCCCAGUUGAGCUCAGCUCCAAGGUACUGAGCUGCACACUUGUGUGCUGAAUAAGUGACAUGGUGCGUUACAAGGCAAAAGAUAACUGAUAAAUGCCUUAAUACUUGGCUUGCCUAUCCAUUUCAGAAAUAAUUCCAAUUCAGUCUUUCAUGAAUGUUUUCACGGUUUCAUUUGGAAAAUUCUGCUCUAAAAAUUAUAAAGGGGUGAAAAUAUAAGGCAACUUAGUAUACUAUCACCAUUUGAGAAGGGUAUUUUCUAAAACAGUCUCUCCUAGUAACUUUCAGAGGUAUUUGUGAGGUGAAAUGAGAGUGGGGAAGAGACUUCUAAAAUCACGUUGCUAAAAGAAAGUGGCAUCGCUUAGCAGCAACAUUUCAAAACCAGAGAAUCUUCAAAUAUUCUAGCUUAUCCACAUAUUUGUGUAUCACAAAUGUGAUAUGAUGGACAUUUUCACUGUUGCAGGAAAAUCAGCCCUGACUCUCUUGUCUCGUACUUAAAUAUGAUUCUUAAUGGACCUACAUUUCAAACUCCUGGAUCCCUUCUCAAGCUCCAAGUGCCUUAAGUUUGAGUUGACGUGGCGAGUGUGGGAGAAAGUAAGAAACAUUAAAUACUUGCAAUUUACACUUUGGGAGUUUCCAAAAUUCAACUCAUUCAUUUUUUUUUCCAGCAAAUAUUUUAUUGAGUGUCUGGUCACCACCUUGUGUGCUGCUCUGAAAACCUGCUAUAACUGCACAAAGGUGGCAGAGCACAUUGCUCUUAAUUCCCAUGGCUUUCUUGGGAAACUGUACACUACCACUGCAGUCACAAUAUGGUCUUCCUCUCUUCCCAGCCACCCCCACCAUAAAGCUACCUGAAAUAAGGGCACAUUACAUAUUUUCUGAUGGUCUUUCCUCUGUAGAGAAAUGUAGAUCCUGGAUAAAGACCCUUGGCAAGGACCUUUUUCCUCUGCCUGAUAUUUGUAUUCAAGCAAAAUAAUGAUAGUAAGAGUAAGCAUUUAGAAAGUGUUGACUAUGUAGCCUAGCACUGCUCCGACACUUUACGUUUAUUAAUAGACGACUGAGGCUAGCUUUGAUCAAUAAAAUCACGUGAGUAGGCACAUUUGCCACUCGGUGGUACAAGAAGGAGUCCCUAUGGCAUCGCAUGACUGUCCAUGGAGUUUCCAGAGAGGUGAUAACUGAUGCUGUGAACUCCUGGUUUCCAGGAAACGGCUCUAAGCUUGUCUCUAAGGUAUCUAAACAAAUAUUUUAUUAUCUUCUGGGAAUUCUGAUCCUGCAACCUAAAUCAAAGAUCCCAAACACUAAAUCAAAUUUUUGUGGCCUUCAAAGCUUAAUAUGAAAAUUACCAGUGAUGUUUUUCUUCCCCCAUAAUAUGACAUUAGGAGCUUAGUAAUGCAUAUCUAGAUGUGAGUUGACAUUUACACUUGUUAUUUGUUGGGAAGGAUGAGUAUGCUUCAUAAUUUAUAUGUAUCAAAUAUCUUCAUUUGUGUAAAUCAAAGAGUUACUAAUAAAAAUGCUAAGAGAAGCUGGA